Molecule: transfer RNA, 71 nt
Filed under: Candidatus Karelsulcia muelleri
Lineage: Bacteria; Pseudomonadati; Bacteroidota; Flavobacteriia; Flavobacteriales
Description: tRNA-Gln
Rfam family: tRNA
About the family: Transfer RNA (tRNA) molecules are approximately 80 nucleotides in length. Their secondary structure includes four short double-helical elements and three loops (D, anti-codon, and T loops).
Source: RNAcentral
AGAUUCGUAGUGUAAUGGUAGCACAGCAGAUUUUGGUUCUGUUAGUUAGGGUUCAAAUCCCUGCGAAUCUG